Molecule: long non-coding RNA, 1053 nt
Filed under: Zonotrichia albicollis (white-throated sparrow)
Lineage: Eukaryota; Metazoa; Chordata; Aves; Passeriformes; Passerellidae
Description: lncRNA (ENSZALG00000016271.1)
Source: RNAcentral
CUGAGCCCCCCAAGGGUGGUCUCGGUGACUCGGCACCUCAGUCCUGAGGUGCUGAGAUCCCACAACGUGGCACUGCCCAGAGAACAUCUGCCAUCGUGACCUCUUCCUGCCAUGCCCAGUGCUCUCACCACUGCACAUGGGCCAGAGCUGCUUCUAGGGUUGUCCUUUUAAGGAUGCUUUGUCCCGUUCCAAAAAGAGCACAGUCUCACCUUCGGGACACCUGUCCCCCCCAGAUUCACUCCCUGGGGCUAAGGGGUUUCAAGAACAGAGAUCUUCUUCUUCUUCCCCAAAGACGAAGGGCACCAUCAGCACCCUCCUCACCCAUUGCCUCAGUUCACGUACUCCUUCACAUAACAUCACUGGACUCUCUUGGCUCUGAGUCAUUGCCUCCCCCUAAGUGGAGUCUCUGUGUCACAGGAAAAAAAUGGUUCUCUCCAUGGCUAUAUAAGAAAAGUCCAGCCAAAGGCCACUCCAUCACCUCCGCCCACCCAAGAUUCUUCUCAACUUCUCCUGUGGCCCAUUUCCUCUCAUCUCAUCUCUAUCUCUCUUCUCAUUCAACUCCAGGAGGAUCAGCAUUUGUAAGGUUUCCAUCAUCUAAGAAAAGAGUUAAAAAUCUCCGGAUCUGCCUGUCCAGAACUCCCAUGCUGCCCUGCAGGGCACCUUCUCACCACACCUCCCCUUUCCACCUCUCGGCCGGCUGCGCUAUCAAUUUCAAGGUGGCACAAGCACAGGCACAGGCUCUCUCUCUCUCUGUGUCUCUCCUGGAGGGGAGGGAGCUGCUCGAUGCCUCUUGUUGCUCCUCCACCCUUCCAUCCUCAGGGCCCUGGUCUACCUCACUUUUAACCCCUCUGUGUUCUCAGAGGUGUAUCCAUGUCCUCAGUGGCCACACCAGGUGCCAAUAUUCAAAUCUGAACACCUAUUGGCUUGACCACAGCAUCCCAAAAAAGUCACUUCCUCUCAAAUCAGGACAGGUAUUUUUUUACUUUUACACCAUGUUACUAGAUUUGAUUAACUUUUUCUAACAAAAUUCAAUAAAGUUAAUAUCCUGUCACA